AUACGGAGGGUGCAAGCGUUGUCCGGAUUUAUUGGGUUCAAAGGGUGCGUAGGCGGUGCGCUAAGUCAGUGGUGAAAUCCCGCAGCUCAACUGCGGAACUGCCAUUGAUACUGGCGCACUUGAGUACGGACGAGGUAGGCGGAAUUUAUGGUGUAGCGGUGAAAUGCAUAGAUACCAUAAAGAACACCGAUAGCGAAGGCAGCUUACUAGACCGUAACUGACGCUCAGGCACGAAAGCGUGGGGAGCGAACAGGAUUAGAAACCCCGGUAGUCC
Molecule: ribosomal RNA, 274 nt
Filed under: uncultured bacterium
Lineage: Bacteria
Description: partial 16S ribosomal RNA
Rfam family: Bacterial small subunit ribosomal RNA
Source: RNAcentral